CCUACGGGGGGCAGCAGUGAGGAAUAUUGGUCAAUGGACGAGAGUCUGAACCAGCCAAGUAGCGUGAAGGAUGACUGCCCUAUGGGUUGUAAACUUCUUUUAUAUGGGAAUAAAAUGUUCCACGUGUGGCAUUUUGUAUGUACCAUAUGAAUAAGGAUCGGCUAACUCCGUGCCAGCAGCCGGGGUAAUACGGAGGAUACGAGCGUUAUCCGGAUUUAUUGGGUUUAAAGGGGACGUAGGUGGGUUGGUAAGUCAGUUGUGAAAGUUUGCGGCUCAACCGUAAAAUUGCAAUUGAAACUGGCAGUCUUGAGUACAGUAGAGGUGGGCGGAAUUCGUGGUGUAGCGGUGAAAUGCUUAGAUAUCACGAAGAACUCCGAUUGCGAAGGCAGUUCACUGGACUGCAACUGACACUGAUGCUCGAAAGUGUGGGUAUCAAACAGGAUUAGAUACCCCUGUAGUC
This 460-nucleotide ribosomal RNA is filed under the name uncultured bacterium. RNAcentral describes it as "partial 16S ribosomal RNA". It matches the Rfam family "Bacterial small subunit ribosomal RNA", at positions 338 to 795 of the family's 1533-position model. The record is from RNAcentral.